AGCAGCCGCGGUAAUUCCAGCUCCAAUAGCGUAUAUUAAAGUUGUUGCAGUUAAAAAGCUCGUAGUUGAAUUUCGGGAUCAAUAUGUUGGUCGUGCCUCGGUACGUACUAGCUUAUUGGUUUCUCCUUUCUGAAGAACCAUGAUGUCAUUCAUUUGGUGUCGUGGGGAAUCAGGACUGUUACUUUGAAAAAAUUAGAGUGUUUAAAGCAGGCUCACGCUUGAAUACAUUAGCAUGGAAUAAUGAAAUAGGACGUUUGAUUCUAUUUUGUUGGUUUCUAGGAUCGACGUAAUGAUUAAUAGGGAUAGUUGGGGGCAUUAGUAUUCAAUUGUCAGAGGUGAAAUUCUUGGAUUUAUUGAAGACUAACUACUGCGAAAGCAUUUGCCAAGGAUGUUUUCAUUAAUCAAGAACGAAAGUUAGGGGAUCGAAGACGAUCAGAUACCGUCGUAGUCUUAACCAUAAACUAUGCCGACUAGGGAUCGGAUGAUGUUAAUUUUUUAAUGACUC
RNAcentral lists this ribosomal RNA (505 nucleotides) under uncultured Glomeromycotina. RNAcentral describes it as "SSU rRNA". It matches the Rfam family "Eukaryotic small subunit ribosomal RNA", at positions 569 to 1077 of the family's 1831-position model. The record is from RNAcentral. Lineage: Eukaryota; Fungi; Glomeromycota.